GGGCCCAUAGCUCAAUGGUGGAGCGGACGGCUCAUAACCGUUUGGUUCUAGGUUCGAAUCCUAGUGGGCCCA
This 72-nucleotide transfer RNA is filed under the name Candidatus Saganbacteria bacterium. Its description in RNAcentral is "tRNA-Ile". It matches the Rfam family "tRNA". From Rfam's summary of the family: Transfer RNA (tRNA) molecules are approximately 80 nucleotides in length. Their secondary structure includes four short double-helical elements and three loops (D, anti-codon, and T loops). The record is from RNAcentral. Lineage: Bacteria; Bacillati.